UGGGCUGCAAUUCGUAUCCUAAACCGCUUUUCAUGGCUUUUUGGUUUGAUUCUAAAGAAUAUUAUAGAAGUAUUGGUUUGAUGAUAAAGAUCUCAAUGACAGCUGCUUUCAUGGAAUCAUCAUCACAAGAUCCCAUAUUUAAGCGAUCAAAUUGCGUAAUGAGUUCGUCUCCGAUGAUUAGCCCUGUUACCGAUAUGCACUUUUAUGCUACCAUUCAAUUCAGUUAGCUUUGUUCUUUUCCUAAUUUAGGAAUCACUUAAAGAGAGAGAUGGAUUUCUCUGAAAGCUACUAAUUGAAUUCGUUACAUUUAUGUACAAAUCAUAAAGAG
This is a long non-coding RNA of Erigeron canadensis, 328 nucleotides long. RefSeq lists it as uncharacterized. The transcript is spliced from 3 exons. Lineage: Eukaryota; Viridiplantae; Streptophyta; Magnoliopsida; Asterales; Asteraceae. The record is from RefSeq and is a predicted model, not a curated record.